UAACUUCUCUUCCUCCUUCUCUAUGAUUACGCCACAGGUCCUUCAUCCUUCUCCUUUCUUUUCAUAGCCAGAGUCCUAAACGCCCAUACCAAAUUCUCAUAAACCACAAAAGUCGUACAAGUUCCUGGUAAGAUCCUGAGCGCAUUCGUACCUAACCCUUUAUACAAUGCGAGUGCGCCUUCAUUGCGCCACACUGAGGAGAUGACUGAGGGGAUCGUUAAUUUGGGGACGGCUGGUGUAGGCGUGAAAUUCUAGAUGGACCAGAGGGUUAGUGGCGUUACGAGCAGAAAAAAUAGGAUAAAGGACGGACUUGUAUUCUAGCUCGGAUGACUUGAUAAGGUCCGUGAACUAAAUUCGAUCCCAGACGUUGCGAGGGUCUUACUAGCUUUUCAUCUUCCACCUUCCAUUCUUUCCCUUCUCUCAAAUAUUUCCGCCUCUUCACCUCUGUCCGCCGCCUUUUGAUCUCCUCAUACGUGGCAAAUUGGAUGGACCCAUUCGACACACCGACAAGGGCCAACAAUGAGCCUUUGUAUAGACCACGAAUACCCUCCGUGCGAUAUAUGGAACGAAAACCGUCCCAUAAACCGCGGUAAGCGAUCGAGUCGUUUUUGGCAGUCCCAAAAACGCGGGUUUUGACGACCCAGAUAGGAUUGAAAGCAUGAAAAGAAGGCGAGCGACGUACUAGCUUCUGCAGCCGCUAAGAGAUGUUGGCCGCUUGAUGUUCUAUAGCUUGGAUCUCCU
Molecule: small RNA, 741 nt
Filed under: Cryptococcus neoformans H99
Lineage: Eukaryota; Fungi; Basidiomycota; Tremellomycetes; Tremellales; Cryptococcaceae
Description: Cryptococcus neoformans var. grubii H99 hypothetical RNA
Source: RNAcentral